AUGCUGUUACGUGUUGAUGUAUGGAUCAAACUCGUGCGGAGCCAACAUUUUCUCCCUAUCCUGUGCCAGGUCGUACUUCCAGCUAAAUUUCCCGUCGAUGCUGUCCACGUACUCCCGUCCCUCGGCGGCGGCGCGCCGGCGCUUCGCCACACGGUCGAUGACGCGCUCCAGAGCGACGUCGAACGCGUCCUUGAACGUCACGCCCUUGGCCGCCGGGUGCCGGUACAGCACGGUGGGGAUGAGCCGGAUGACCUGCUCCCGCAUCUGCGCCACCUUCGCCGGCGGUAUCCUGCUCAGCACCUCCUCGAUGCUGGCGUUCCGCUCGACCACGUCGCCGUGCGGGAUGAAGACGGAGUAGCUCCGGUGGUCUCUCGGCAGGUGCCAUAUGUACUGGAGGUAGGCGGAGACGGGGUGGAAGAAGACCGGGAUGCAGCCGGCGAGGAUGGUGUCGAAGGUGGACUUGCGCGUGUACCCGUCGCCGCGCGGCUGCACGCAGAACUCGGCGCUCUCCAGCAGCCGCAUGGCGCGGCCCGGCGCGUAGUGCCCCGGCGCCGGCACGCCGAGCAGCGCGCACCGGCUCGACCUGCCGCACUGCUCCAUGAUCUGGGCGCGCACCGUGCGCUGGCUGCCGUCGCGGGCCCCGCCGGCGAAGCCCCAGAGAAACGGGCGGUCCAUCUCGUACACGCGGUCCUGCCAGCCGGUGACCUCGGCGUCGGACGACGGGUGGAAGUGCGACGGGAACGGCACGGCGAAGUCGUUGCCGUGCCACGGGCUGGCCUCGGUGGUGAGGAACGUGGCGUUGAGGAUGGCCGGGAAGGUCAUGAGCGCGUUGCCCCAGCCGACGGCGUCGGGGUUGACGAUGAAGUCCCACGUGCCCCGCCCGGACACCAGCAAGUGGUCGCGCCCGCCCAUGGCGCGCCACUCUGGCCGCUGCGCCAGCCAGUCCACCACGUCCCGCGACAGGGCGUCCCGCGCCGCGAGGUCUUUGCUCCCCAGGUGCAUCGCCGAGUCGAGACCGGCGUAGAACGGGACGUACACCACGGCGGCGGCGGCGGGGUCGGCCGUGAGACACUCGUGCCGCCGCAUCCGGGCGUGGAAGAUCAGGCCGAGCAUGUACUGGUCGGUGUCGUAGGCCCCGCUCUCCGGCAGCGACCCGGCCUCGCCGCCGCCCUUGAUGGGCGGGCCGAACCCGUCGUUGGCCACGUCCUUGCACACGUCGGUGGAGCCCGAGAUCCGGCGGCACUCGCGGACGAGGUCGGCGUUGAACCGAGGCGGCAGGUCGUACAUGUACACGUACCGGCCGGCGCACGGGUCGCGGCGGAAGAUGCGGGGCACCGAGAAGAAGGCCGACGGCUUGAGCUGGAGCACGGCGGGCGCUGCCACCGCCGCGCUGACCGACUGUUGCAUGCUGGUGGAGAAGUGGUGGUAGAACACCAGCGCCCAGAAGACGACGUAGAGGAGCGCGAGGUAGAAGAGCCGGGACGGCCGCCGUGCGCCCCUCUCGGGGUUCUGCUUGCCGCUGCCGUCGACGGCGGAGUACUGCUUGCCAUCGUCGUCGUAUUCGGCCGCGGCGUCCAGAUCUCGCUGGAGGCUCCGCGAGAAGGGCUUCAUCGGCGGUGUGCUGCCGUGCUGAUGCUGUGGCAUGCAGCUGCUCCAGUGAGUGUCAGUGUAUGCGAGCAGUAA
RNAcentral lists this ribosomal RNA (1683 nucleotides) under Triticum aestivum (bread wheat). RNAcentral's name for it is "partial small subunit ribosomal RNA". Lineage: Eukaryota; Viridiplantae; Streptophyta; Magnoliopsida; Poales; Poaceae. The record is from RNAcentral.